This 513-nucleotide ribosomal RNA is filed under the name uncultured bacterium. RNAcentral describes it as "bacterial SSU rRNA". It matches the Rfam family "Bacterial small subunit ribosomal RNA", at positions 791 to 1310 of the family's 1533-position model. The record is from RNAcentral.
UAGUCCACGCCCUAAACGAUGUAUACUCGAUGUUUGGAUUUAUUUCUGGGCAUCCAAGGGAAACCAUUAAGUAUACCACCUGGGGAGUACGUCGGCAACGAUGAAACUCAAAGGAAUUGACGGGGGCCCGCACAAGCGGUGGAGCAUGUGGUUUAAUUCGAUGAUACGCGAGGAACCUUACCAGGGCUUAAAUGCAGUUGGACAGGGGUGGAAACACCCCCUUCUUCGGACUGAUUGCAAGGUGCUGCAUGGUUGUCGUCAGCUCGUGCCGUGAGGUGUCAGGUUAAGUCCUAUAACGAGCGCAACCCCUGUGGUUAGUUGCCAGCGAGUAAUGUCGGGAACUCUAGCCAGACUGCCGGUGCAAACCGUGAGGAAGGUGGGGAUGACGUCAAAUCAUCACGGCCCUUACGUCCUGGGCUACACACGUGCUACAAUGGUAGGUACAGAGAGCAGCCACUGCGCGAGCAGGAGCGAAUCUAUAAAACCUAUCUCAGUUCGGAUCGGAGUCUGCAA